RNAcentral lists this transfer RNA (66 nucleotides) under Sicyonia parajaponica. RNAcentral's name for it is "tRNA-Tyr". It matches the Rfam family "tRNA". From Rfam's summary of the family: Transfer RNA (tRNA) molecules are approximately 80 nucleotides in length. The record is from RNAcentral. Lineage: Eukaryota; Metazoa; Arthropoda; Malacostraca; Decapoda; Sicyoniidae.
GAUAAAAUGGCUGAGUUUAUAGGCGAUAAAUUGUAAAUUUAUAUACGGAUUAGAAUCCUUUUAUCA